GAUGAACGCUGGCGGCGUGCUUAACACAUGCAAGUCGAACGAAGCGCUUUACUUCGAUUCUUCGGAUGAAGAGUAUUGUGACUGAGUGGCGGACGGGUGAGUAACGCGUGGGUAACCUGCCUCAUACAGGGGGAUAACAGUUAGAAAUGACUGCUAAUACCGCAUAAGACCACGGUGCCGCAUGGCAGAGUGGUAAAAAACUCCGGUGGUAUGAGAUGGACCCGCGUCUGAUUAGGUAGUUGGUGGGGUAACGGCCUACCAAGCCGACGAUCAGUAGCCGACCUGAGAGGGUGACGGCCACAUUGGGACUGAGACACGGCCCAAACUCCUACGGGA
RNAcentral lists this ribosomal RNA (336 nucleotides) under uncultured bacterium. Its description in RNAcentral is "bacterial SSU rRNA". It matches the Rfam family "Bacterial small subunit ribosomal RNA", at positions 28 to 346 of the family's 1533-position model. The record is from RNAcentral.